RNAcentral lists this ribosomal RNA (492 nucleotides) under fungal sp. BCC11B-1. RNAcentral describes it as "eukaryotic LSU rRNA". The stretch from base 131 to 283 matches the Rfam family "5.8S ribosomal RNA". Lineage: Eukaryota; Fungi. The record is from RNAcentral.
ACCUCGUUGCUUCGGCGGGCCCGCCUUAACUGGCCGCCGGGGGGCUCACGCCCCCGGGCCCGCGCCCGCCGAAGACACCCCCGAACUCUGCCUGAAGAUUGUCGUCUGAGUGAAAAUAUAAAUUAUUUAAAACUUUCAACAACGGAUCUCUUGGUUCCGGCAUCGAUGAAGAACGCAGCGAAAUGCGAUACGUAAUGUGAAUUGCAAAUUCAGUGAAUCAUCGAGUCUUUGAACGCACAUUGCGCCCCCUGGUAUUCCGGGGGGCAUGCCUGUCCGAGCGUCAUUGCUGCCCUCAAGCCCGGCUUGUGUGUUGGGCCCCGUCCUCCGAUUCCGGGGGACGGGCCCGAAAGGCAGCGGCGGCACCGCGUCCGGUCCUCGAGCGUAUGGGGCUUUGUCACCCGCUCUGUAGGCCCGGCCGGCGCUUGCCGAUCAACCCAAAUUUUUAUCCAGGUUGACCUCGGAUCAGGUAGGGAUACCCGCUGAACUUAAGCA